Long non-coding RNA from Hibiscus syriacus, 87 nucleotides. RefSeq lists it as uncharacterized. The record is from RefSeq and is a predicted model, not a curated record. NCBI's taxonomy places the organism in Eukaryota, Viridiplantae, Streptophyta, Magnoliopsida, Malvales, Malvaceae. The transcript is spliced from 3 exons.
GUCGUUUGGUCCCAAAUUUCAUAGGUUGCUUCGUCUCGACACCUUGAGUCUGAAUCCAACCUCCAUUUUCCCAAAAAAUACACCAAA